RNAcentral lists this ribosomal RNA (318 nucleotides) under uncultured eukaryote. RNAcentral's name for it is "partial 18S ribosomal RNA". It matches the Rfam family "Eukaryotic small subunit ribosomal RNA", at positions 1470 to 1796 of the family's 1831-position model. The record is from RNAcentral.
CCCUUAGAUGUCCUGGGCCGCACGCGUGCUACACUGACGCAUACAGCGAGCACUUUCCAGCUCCGAGAGGCUACUGGUAAUCAUCAAUAUGCGUCGUGAUGGGGAUAGAUCUUUGGAAUUCUGGAUCUUGAACGAGGAAUGCCUAGUAAUCGCAGGUCAUUAGCCUGCGAUGAUUAAGUCCCUGCCCUUUGUACACACCGCCCGUCGCUACUACCGAUUUCGAGUGGUCAGGUGAAUCUUUCGGACUGUGGGCGCCCUUGAGGUGUUCGCGGAAAGUCAGGUAAAUCUUAUCACUUAGAGGAAGUAAAAGUCGUAACA